This is a long non-coding RNA of Anopheles merus, 998 nucleotides long. RefSeq lists it as uncharacterized. The record is from RefSeq and is a predicted model, not a curated record. The transcript is spliced from 3 exons. NCBI's taxonomy places the organism in Eukaryota, Metazoa, Arthropoda, Insecta, Diptera, Culicidae.
ACUGGCGGCUACAAUUUGCUUUGCGGAAGCCUUAGUAACCGAUGUAGACGCGUGGCAUUGCGGGCACUAACGAGAAGUGGAACGAGAUAUUUAAAAAAAAAUCAUACUGCGAUAGUACAACGUUUCUUCAGUCGUUUUUUUUUUCAAACCCGAUAGGCUAUUACAGCAGUGUCGGUCUUCUCUGAAGGACGAUACCUUAAUUUGUUCUGCUAAAGUGGGUGUUUGCCGUGAAAGGAAUUUGGUGUUUAUCCCUGUCUAGACGAAGUCAGGUAGUUCGGACGUGAUACAAUAGCAAAGCGUGUAGUGAGUGAAAGGUAUCGCAAUAGAUUGUGAAAAAAAAAUACAAUUUUAAAUAAUUUCUAUUAUGAUUAGUUUUUUGUGAAACAUGCUGAUAGUAUGAAACCAGUCAAAUUGACUGUCUUUCACAGAACGGUGAUCAUAAGCAAGUGCUGUUGUUGGAAUGUAGCUCUCCAUUUACUAGCUGCUAUUAGUACAGCUAAUAGUACAGGCGUGACGUAGUAAAAAGAGUAUAAAUUAGCAGCCCUCAAUGCUCAAAUCCACUCAAUCAAGACCCACUCCAGGUCUUGUUUUGCCGGUACACUUUACACAAAAUCGUGCUGCGUAAAACAAGUAACAUUCACUUAGCUCCGUGCAGUACCAGUGAACCGCCAAAAGAGAAGUGGAGAAGCAACAAAACGGUCAAUCAUUAUGGAAUUAAUCACGAGCAAGAAUGUUAACAAAAUGACCAGCUGGUCAACCAACAGAGCCCUUCCUGCGCUCCGAGCCAUUAAUAGCCCGGGAAGAAAUAGAGUCGGUAAUUACACGGCCAUUAGCUACCGAUGUACUUCUGCUGCCUCGGUCACGUAGAAGAACCACCAAAUGCCCCACGGACGCACCCCUAGCACAGCGUUUGCAAUCAAUUUUCGCGCGGCGUGUUCGCAAUGCUCGGAGCCGUCUCGCCGGAUUCCUUCGACACGCUGCACUCGUACAGCAACACC